UGCAAUCCCAGCCUACACUAGCUCCAUCCCAUCUCCUUUUACACAGGCAUCUCUCCUAAUAAAAUCCUGGCAUGUUUAAUCUGCUCUUGAUGUCUGCUUCUCAGAGGACCAGAAGUAAAAGAGAGGAAGAAGCUGCAUUUCAGAGGUAUUAGUAACUGUCCCAGAUCACAUAGCUCAUACUGGCAGAGCCAGGAUUCAAACCUGCAUGACCACCCAGCACAACCUCCCUGUAAAGGCCCUGAAAUGUCCAGUAACAGCUGGCUCGAGGACUGCCCACUUAUCAUUCACCCUUUGUCAGGGGUUGGGCAGCACCUGCAGCAGACACCCUGGCAAGAUCUUGCUAUGUUUCCCAGGCUGGACUUCAACUCCUGGGCUCAAGUGAUCCUCCUGUCUCGGCCUCCCAAGUACCUGGGACUACAGAUGUGCACCGCUUAGUCAAUUUUUCUUUAUUUUUAUUAAAGUAUAAUUGGCUUAUAUUAAAUUGCAUAUAUUAACAUGUAAUAUUUAAUAAAUCUUGAUAUUUAUGCACCCAUUAAUCUAUCACACUAUUAAAUAUAUGUGCAAUGUAUUUUUCUCUCCUCAAAUUUUUCUUGUGUUUUUUUUUAAUUCUUUCCUUCUUCCCCUCCCUGUCCAACACUCCUUCUGCCUCCAGUUCUCUAGUAACUAUUAAUCUGAUUUCUGUCAUUACAUAUCAGUUGUACUAUUUAGAAUUUUAUAUAACUGGAAUUGUCAACUAUGUACUCUUAUUUUUGCCUGGUUUCUUUCCCAAGAAUAAUGAAGAUUCAUCUAUGCUGUUACACAUAUCAACAGUUCUCUUAUCAUUGCAGUGUAGUAUUUCAGUAUAUAGAUUACUAUUCAUAUGCUGAUGGUAUUUUAGUGGUUUGGAGGUGUUUUAUAUAAAGCUUCCAUAAAUAUUUGUGUACAAUUUUUUUGUGUGGACACAUGCUUUCAUUUCUCUUAGCAGUAACAAGGUUAGAAUAUAUGGCAGGUAUAUGUUUAACUUUUAAAUAAACUAACAAAGUGUUUUAUUGGGGAACCUGCCCCGAUAGCUACAUAGGUUCUUUUCUAUUUUCCCUAAGCAUCGGCCAGUUUGAGAAAUAAGGGGACAGAGUACAAAAGAGAGAAAUUUUAAAGCUGGGCUUCUGGGGGAGACAUCACAUGUCGGUAGGUUCUGUGAUGCCCCACAAGCCGCAAAACCAGCAAGUUUUUAUUAGGGACUUUCAAAAGGGGAGGGAGUGUACGAAUAGGGUGUGGGUCACAAAGAUCACGUACUUCACAAGGUAAUAGAAUAUCACAAGGCAAAUUGAGGCAGGGUGAGAUCACAGGACCACAGGACCAGGGCAAAAUUAAAAUUGCUAAUGAAUUUUCGGGCACCAUUGUCAUUGAUAACAUCUUAUCAGGAGACAGGGUUUUGAGAGCAACCCGUCUGACCAAAAUUUUUUAGGCGGGAAUUUCCUCUUCCUAAUAAGCCUGGAAGGACUAUGGGAGACUGGGGUUUAUUUCAUCCCUACUGUCUUGACCAUAGAAGAUGGCCACACCCAAGGGGGCCAUUUAUAGACCCACCCUCAGGGGCGUAUUCUCUUUCUCAGGGAUGUUCCUUGCUGAGAAAAAUAAUUCAGCAAUAUUUCUCCCAUUUGCUUUUGAAAGAAGAGAAAUAUGGCUCUGUUCCACCUGGCUCACAGAUGGUCAGAGUUUAAGGUUAUCUCUCUUAUUCUCUGAACAAUUGCCGUUAUCCUGUUCUUUUUUCAAGGUGCCCAGAUUUCAUAUUGUUCAAACACACAUGCUUUACAAUUUGGGCAGUUAACACAAUUAUCACAGGGUCCUGAGGUGACAUACUUCCUCCUCAGCUGGCAGGAUUAAGAGAUUAAAGUAAAGACAGGUCUAGGAAAUCACAAGGGUAUUGACUGGGGAAGUGAUAAGUGUCCAUGAAAUCUUCACAAUUUAUGUUUAGAGAUUAUGGCAAAGACAGGCAUAAGAAAUUAUAAAAGUAUUAAUUUGGGGAUCUAACAAAUGUCCAUGAAAUCUUCACAAUCCACGUUCUUCUGCCAUGGCUUUAGCCAGUCCCUCUGUUUGGGGUCCCUGACUUCCCGCAACAGAGUUUUCCAAAAUACUGGUAUCAUUUUAUAUUCCCGUCAUCAGUAUUUAACAGUUACAGGUCAAAUCCUGGCCAACACUUGGUAUUGUCAGGCUUCUUAGCUUUUUAAAAUGUAUUAAGUAUGUAGUCACUUAAUUGCAAAAGACCAUUUUGCUUUUAAUUUUUUCCCUAAUAAAUUAUAAUGUUGAUUAUCCUUUCAUGGUCUUAUUUGCCAUCCAUAUGUCUUAUUGAUAAAAUGUCUGCUUACAUUCAUUACAAAUUUAUACUAGGAUUUCAACAUUUUUAAAUCGUGGUAAAAUACACAUAAAUAAUAUAUCACUUUAACUAUUUUUAAGUGUACAGUAUACAGUGUUAAGUAUAGCCACAUGGUUGGGUAAUCUUUAUAACUUUUUCUUUUUGCAAAACUGAAACUCUAUACCCAUUAAAUAAACCUUAUUUUUUCCUCUCGUCAGCCCUCACAAUCACCAUGCUACUUUCUGUCUCUUUGAAUGUUACUACUCUGGAUACUUCAUAUAAGGGAAUCAUGUUGUAUUUGUCUUUCUGUUAUUGGCUUAUUUCACUUAGUAUAAUGUCCUCAAGGUUCAUCCAUAUUGUAAUACAUGUCAAAAUUUCCUUUAUUUUUAAGGCUGAAUAAUAUUUUGCACACACACACAUGCACGCACACACUGUUUUGUUCAUACAUUCAACCAUUGAUGGAUAUUUGGGUUUUUUCAACCUUUUGGAUACUGUGAAUAAUCCUGUUAUGAACAAAGGAGUACUAUUAAUAUAUUUUAAGUUCUUUUGGAAAUAUAUCUAGGAGUGAAAUUGCUGGAUUA
This 2910-nucleotide long non-coding RNA is filed under the name Homo sapiens (human). Its description in RNAcentral is "HSALNT0114382". Lineage: Eukaryota; Metazoa; Chordata; Mammalia; Primates; Hominidae. The record is from RNAcentral.